This 77-nucleotide transfer RNA is filed under the name Acidobacteriaceae bacterium. Its description in RNAcentral is "tRNA-Arg". It matches the Rfam family "tRNA". Rfam says of the family: Transfer RNA (tRNA) molecules are approximately 80 nucleotides in length. Their secondary structure includes four short double-helical elements and three loops (D, anti-codon, and T loops). RNAcentral also lists the same sequence under 1 other name. Lineage: Bacteria; Pseudomonadati; Acidobacteriota; Terriglobia; Terriglobales; Acidobacteriaceae. The record is from RNAcentral.
GGCCCUGUAGCUCAGACGGAUAGAGCGGCGGACUCCUAAGCCGAAGGUCGCAGGUUCGACUCCUGCCGGGGCCACCA